This is a non-coding RNA of Camelina sativa (false flax), 1833 nucleotides long. The record is from RefSeq and is a predicted model, not a curated record. Lineage: Eukaryota; Viridiplantae; Streptophyta; Magnoliopsida; Brassicales; Brassicaceae.
ACACAGCUCCUGUUGAGCUGCGUGAGAAGCUUGCUAUUCCUGAAGUUGAGUGGCCACGAGCUAUCGCUGAGUUAUGCGGUUUGAAUCAUAUCGAAGAAGCUGCUGUUCUCAGUAUUUGCAACCGCAUGGAGAUUUAUGUCCUGGCUCUCUCUCAGCAUCGUGGUGUCAAAGAAGUUACCAUUUACCAACUGCGCUUUUCCAACUUUUUAUAUUUCCACUCUUUAGAGGAAAAGGAUAUUAGCUUAAGUGGGGAACAUGUUAGGGAGGGAUUGACCUGCAUUGUCUCAGUCAAGGUUCCUAAUCCUGAGUUUGAAGGUCAAACAAAGACAAGACUAGGAAAUCCAGAGGUGAGAAAAAUUGUUGACAAAUCAGUCCGGAGUACUUGGAAUUGCAUCCGGAUGUACUUGAAAGCAUUAUUUCCAAAUCCUUGAAGGCGUACAAGGCUGCUAAGAGGGCUAGGGAAUUGGUGAGAUCAAAAAGCGCUUUGAGGUCAUCUUCGCUUCAUGGGAAACUUGCAGAUUGCUCAUCUACAGAUCCUGCAGAAUCUGAGAUUUUCAUUGUUGAAGGAGAUUCUGCUGGUGGCAACGCGAAACAGGGUCGUGACAGGCGUUUCCAGGAGAUGCUUCCUUUAAAAAUUUUGAAUAUUGAUUGAGAGAAAGAAUGAAGCAGCCAUGUAUAAGAACGAAGAAAUUCAAAAUCUAAUUCUUGGCCUUGGCCUUGGAGUCAAGGGAGAAGAUUUCAACAAGGAGAAUCUACGUUACCAUAAAAUUAUCGUACUAACAGAUGCAGAUGUUGAUGGUGCACAUAUCCUGACUCUUCUGUUGACCUUUUUCUUCAGAUAUCAGAGAGCCCUGUUUGACGCUGGUUGCAUAUAUGUGGGUGUUCCACCUCUUUUCAAGGUUGAGAGGGGGAAUCAGGCGCACUAUUGCUACGAUGAUGCAGCAAUAAGAUCAAGUGUGCUUUGUCUUUUUUUCUUUUUCUUUUAAAGGUUAAUUGGCGAAUUUGAUCAAGUGUAUGUUAAAUGGCGAAUCUUUAGCAAUGAAGCAAGUAGGAACAUUCAACAUGUGUCACGCAGUACUUAAGAAAGGAGGGACUGGGAGAGACUCAUCAAGUGGUGGCGGUUCGAUUAUUAUAUGAAAGAUAUAACAUAUGUUUUCUCUUCAUGAUAUAUUCGUCCAAAAUUAUAAACAGAGAUUUCAUCAGCAAUAUGCUUCUUAAAAGGGAAAGCAUAUGGAGCGUUACAAAACUCGCCUCCAUUUACCACUCGUGAUAACAUUGGCCUCUGUUAUAUCCUCGACUGUGUCAAAUGCGCUGCUUGGGACUCAAAUCAGCUUUCACAGUUCCCUCAUACGACCUGCAGUCAGCUGCAGCCGCCGGUCCUCGUAGCCGCCGGUCCAAAAUCUUCUGUCGUAGCCGCCGGUCCGAGUCACUGAAUAUCUCCUUCGUCACUUAUUUCUGCCGGAAAUCACUUCGCCAGAAGCGGCUAUGAGUUUCUCUACUCUCUUGGCAGUCGUCGGAAGGUUGUCCAACAGAUGCCUCUGAUUCCGUCGACAACACAGCCGAAGGAGACGAAGGGUAAGCAUAUUCAAAAAACAUUACUCAAUUCUAGUGGACCACAGCGGGCUAGGUUUUCAUCAUAUUGUGGACCAGAUCUGUCAAAAUCCUAUAUGUUGUCCAUUAUUAGGAAUGUGGACGGGAAUAAUGCCUUUUAAUUUUGUCCACCAUAACAUGUCUACCGUAUACUUUGCUCCCUACAUUGUUGUAGUCUAUCGUCCUUUACAUAUUGUCUAUUACAUUUUCAUAUAUUUCUACCAGUCAAUGUUGUCUAUUACA